AGCGAGUCUGCCUUGAAGAUCGGAGUGCUUGCACUCUGUGAAACAAGAUACAGGCUAGCGGCGGACGGGUGAGUAACACGUGGGUAACCUGCCCAAGAGAUCGGGAUAACACCCGGAAACAGAUGCUAAUACCGGAUAACAACAGAUGAUGCCUAUCAACUGUUUAAAAGAUGGUUCUGCUAUCACUCUUGGAUGGACCUGCGGUGCAUUAGCUAGUUGGUAGGGUAACGGCCUACCAAGGCGAUGAUGCAUAGCCGAGUUGAGAGACUGAUCGGCCACAUUGGGACUGAGACACGGCCCAAACUCCUACGGGAGGCAGCAGUAGGGAAUCUUCCACAAUGGACGCAAGUCUGAUGGAGCAACGCCGCGUGAGUGAAGAAGGGUUUCGGCUCGUAAAGCUCUGUUGUUGGUGAAGAAGGACAGGGGUAGUAACUGACCUUUGUUUGACGGUAAUCAAUUAGAAAGUCACGGCUAACUACGUGCCAGCAGCCGCGGUAAUACGUAGGUGGCAAGCGUUGUCCGGAUUUAUUGGGCGUAAAGCGAGUGCAGGCGGCUCGAUAAGUCUGAUGUGAAAGCCUUCGGCUCAACCGGAGAAUUGCAUCAGAAACUGUCGAGCUUGAGUACAGAAGAGGAGAGUGGAACUCCAUGUGUAGCGGUGAAAUGCGUAGAUAUAUGGAAGAACACCGGUGGCGAAGGCGGCUCUCUGGUCUGUUACUGACGCUGAGGCUCGAAAGCAUGGGUAGCGAACAGGAUUAGAUACCCUGGUAGUCCAUGCCGUANACGAUGAGUGCUAAGUGUUGGGAGGUUUCCGCCUCUC
RNAcentral lists this ribosomal RNA (817 nucleotides) under uncultured bacterium. RNAcentral's name for it is "bacterial SSU rRNA". It matches the Rfam family "Bacterial small subunit ribosomal RNA", at positions 56 to 841 of the family's 1533-position model. The record is from RNAcentral.